UUCCGUGGAGAGGAACAAUUCUGA
RNAcentral lists this non-coding RNA (24 nucleotides) under Macaca fascicularis (crab-eating macaque). The record is from RNAcentral. Lineage: Eukaryota; Metazoa; Chordata; Mammalia; Primates; Cercopithecidae. RNAcentral also lists the same sequence under 3 other names.